Molecule: ribosomal RNA, 780 nt
Filed under: uncultured bacterium
Lineage: Bacteria
Description: bacterial SSU rRNA
Rfam family: Bacterial small subunit ribosomal RNA
Source: RNAcentral
GCAGUCGAGCGGAGUACCCCAAGAAAAAUUUUCGAAUGGAUCUUGGACGUACUUAGCGGCGGACGGGUGAGUAACGCGUGGGCAACCUGCCCUGUACAGAGGAAUAACAUUGGGAAACCAGUGCUAAUACCUUAUAACACUUUUCGGUGGCAUCACUGAGAAGUCAAAGUUUUUCGGUACAGGAUGGGCCCGCGUCUGAUUAGUUAGUUGGUGGGGUAAUGGCCCACCAAGACGAUGAUCAGUAGCCGACCUGAGAGGGUGAUCGGCCACACUGGAACUGAGACACGGUCCAGACUCCUACGGGAGGCGGCAGUGGGGAAUAUUGCACAAUGGGGGAAACCCUGAUGCAGCAACGCCGCGUGAGCGAUGAAGGCCUUCGGGUCGUAAAGCUCUGUCCUAAGGGAAGAUAUAGACGGUACCUUAGGAGGAAGCCCCGGCUAACUACGUGCCAGCAGCCGCGGUAAUACGUAGGGGGCAAGCGUUAUCCGGAAUUACUGGGCGUAAAGGGUGCGUAGGCGGUCUGGUAAGUCAGAGGUGAAAGACUAUUGCUCAACGAUAGCAAGCCUUUGAAACUACCAGACUUGAGUGCAGGAGAGGAGAGUGGAAUUUCUAGUGUAGCGGUGAAAUGCGUAGAUAUUAGAAGGAACACCAGUGGCGAAGGCGACUCUCUGGACUGCAACUGACGCUGAGGCACGAAAGCGUGGGGAGCGAACAGGAUUAGAUACCCUGGUAGUCCACGCCGUAAACGAUGAGUGCUAGGUGUCGGGGGUCAAACCUCGG